RNAcentral lists this ribosomal RNA (345 nucleotides) under Bacteroidota bacterium. RNAcentral's name for it is "Bacteroidetes bacterium (sediment metagenome) partial 23S ribosomal RNA". It matches the Rfam family "Bacterial large subunit ribosomal RNA", at positions 2567 to 2925 of the family's 2925-position model. The record is from RNAcentral. Lineage: Bacteria; Pseudomonadati; Bacteroidota.
AAGGGUUCGGCUGUUCGCCGAUUAAAGUGGCACGCGAGCUGGGUUCAGAACGUCGUGAGACAGUUCGGUCCCUAUCUGUUGUGGGCGUAGGAAAUUUGAGAGGGCCUGCCUCUAGUACGAGAGGACCGAGGCGGACGUACCUCUAGUGUACCUGUUGUGACGCCAGUUGCAGCGCAGGGUAGCUAUGUACGGUUGAGAUAAGCACUGAAAGCAUCUAAGUGCGAAACUCGCCUCAAGAUAAGAUUUCCUUAUAAGGGUCGUUGGAGACGACGACGUUGAUAGGCUGCAGGUGUAAAGGUAGCAAUACCAAAGCCAAGCAGUACUAAUCACCCGAAACUUUUUUCG